UACCAGCUCUCCGAGUGGUAGGGAUGAUUAUUGGGCUUAAAGCGUCCGUAGCCGGCUUAGCAAGUUUCCUGUUAAAUUCAGCGACCUAAUCGUUGAGCCGCGGGAAAUACUACUAGGCUAGGAGGCGGGAGAGGUCGACAGUACUUCUGGGGUAGGGGUGAAAUCCUAUAAUCCCGGGAGGACCACCAGUGGCGAAGGCUGUCGACUAGAACGCGCUCGACGGUGAGGGACGAAAGCUGGGGGAGCGAACCGGAUUAGAUACCCGGGUAGUCCCAGCUGUAAACGAUGCGGGCUAGGUGUUGGGGUGGCUACGUGCCACUUCAGUGCCGCAGGGAAGCCAUUAAGCCCGCCGCCUGGGGAGUACGGCCGCAAGGCUGAAACUUAAAGGAAUUGGCGGGGAGCACCACAAGGCGUGAAGCUUGCGGUUC
This 428-nucleotide ribosomal RNA is filed under the name uncultured archaeon. RNAcentral's name for it is "bacterial SSU rRNA". It matches the Rfam family "Archaeal small subunit ribosomal RNA", at positions 474 to 903 of the family's 1478-position model. The record is from RNAcentral.